RNAcentral lists this ribosomal RNA (253 nucleotides) under uncultured bacterium. Its description in RNAcentral is "partial 16S ribosomal RNA". It matches the Rfam family "Bacterial small subunit ribosomal RNA", at positions 524 to 776 of the family's 1533-position model. The record is from RNAcentral.
UACGUAGGUGGCGAGCGUUGUCCGGAUUUACUGGGCGUAAAGAGCGCGCAGGCGGUCGUUCAAGUCGCGUGUGAAAGCCCCCGGCUCAACUGGGGAGGGUCACGCGAUACUGAUCGACUCGAAGGCAGGAGAGGGUAGUGGAAUUCCCGGUGUGGUGGUGAAAUGCGUAGAUAUCGGGAGGAACACCAGUGGCGAAGGCGACUACCUGGCCUGUUCUUGACGCUGAGGCGCGAAAGCUAGGGGAGCAAACGGG